This 373-nucleotide ribosomal RNA is filed under the name uncultured bacterium. RNAcentral's name for it is "bacterial SSU rRNA". It matches the Rfam family "Bacterial small subunit ribosomal RNA", at positions 521 to 896 of the family's 1533-position model. The record is from RNAcentral.
UAAUACGUAGGACGCAAGCGUUGUCCGGAAUCACUGGGUGUAAAGGGUGCGUAGGCGGGAAGGUAAGUCAGUGGUGAAAUCUCACGGCUCAACCGUGAAACUGCCGUUGAUACUGCUUUUCUUGAGUUUGGGAGAGGUCGAUGGAAUUCCAGGUGUAGCGGUGAAAUGCGUAGAUAUCUGGAAGAACACCAGUGGCGAAGGCGGUCGACUGGCCCAUAACUGACGCUGAGGCACGAAAGCGUGGGGAGCGAACAGGAUUAGAUACCCUGGUAGUCCACGCCCUAAACGAUGAAUGCUUGGUGUUGGCCCGCAAGGGUCAGUGCCGGAGGUAACCUGGUAAGCAUUCCACCUGGGGAGUACGCUCGCAAGGGUG